CCCACCCACCCCAAAUCCUAUAAAUACGGCAAAAGCAGGCAAAUUACGCAGUGGAAAACAACAAGUGCAAACGACUUACGGAAGCUGACAUUCGACGUACGAAAGCAAUCAUGGUUCUCUACCUGAAUGACCUGUCCAAGAUUGAACUUCGUGACAACAAACGCCGUCUGAAGAACGUGAUGUGGGAGCUGGAGACACGGCAGAGCCGCCUGGACGACAUGAUGGAUAGGGUGGAAACUCUCAACGCCAAGAUGACAGUAGCCGAACAGAGACGUCGACGAUCAAAGAAGAGGUUACAGUAACAGCGAAGUGCGGAGUAGAUAUAUGCUGGACGAAUUGGAUAAGUAUACGCUGGAUAAAGAAGAGGAACGAAGUUUUAUUUAUAAAACGAUGUAAUGAGAGUACUGAAGCUGUGACAUUUCAUACUAUAACAUAGACUCUAAAAGAUUUGAUGGCAAGAAGACGAUGUUAUCUUGUAACAUCAUAGGGUUGUCUGUGAUGUCAGUCGUUACAUAUUACUAUUAAUAUUACUUGUUUUACUGUGAGAGAAAUGAAAGUGAAUAUUUGUGUGAAAAUAACGCCAAAUUUUUGAUGACGUAACUAACUAUAACCACGGUUGCAAGAUAUGUUGUUUAAAAUUGAAAUACAAAGUAAAAUAUAAUGAAAUUGAAUAAAAAUAAAGUUCUUUUGUUUAA
Branchiostoma belcheri (Belcher's lancelet) is the source of this 695-nucleotide RNA transcript. RefSeq lists it as uncharacterized. The record is from RefSeq and is a predicted model, not a curated record. NCBI's taxonomy places the organism in Eukaryota, Metazoa, Chordata, Leptocardii, Amphioxiformes, Branchiostomatidae. The transcript has 3 exons.